ACGAACGCUGAUGGCGUGCCUCAUACAUGCAAGUCGAGCGCGUAGCAAUACGAGCGGCGGACGGGUGAGUAACACGUAAACAAUCUGCCCUCAAGUGGGGAAUAACUAUCCCAACGGAUAGCUAAUACCGCAUAAGGAUGGAGGUGGCAUCACCUCUUCUCGAAAGGCUUCGGCCGCUUAAGGAUGAGUUUGCGUCCCAUUAGUUUGUUGGCGGGGUAACGGCCCACCAAGACUACGAUGGGUAUCCGGCCUGAGAGGGUGUACGGACACAUUGGGACUGAGAUACGGCCCAGACUCCUACGGGAGGCAGCAGUAGGGAAUUUUGCGCAAUGGGGGAAACCCUGACGCAGCAACGCCAUGUGUGGGAUGAAGCAUUUCGGUGUGUAAACCACUGUCAGCAGGGAAUAAAAGGUCCUCACGGACAUUUGAAUGUACCUGCAAAGGAAGCCCCGGCUAACUUCGU
Molecule: ribosomal RNA, 463 nt
Filed under: uncultured bacterium
Lineage: Bacteria
Description: bacterial SSU rRNA
Rfam family: Bacterial small subunit ribosomal RNA
Source: RNAcentral